CCCCUAGUAACUGCGAGUGAAGCGGGAAAAGCUCAAAUUUAAAAUCUGGCAGUCUUUGAUUGUCCGAGUUGUAAUCUAGAGAAGUGUUAUCCGCGUUGGACCGUGUACAAGUCUCCUGGAAUGGAGCAUCAUAGAGGGUGAGAAUCCCGUCUUUGACACGGACUACCAGUGCUUUGUGAUGCGCUCUCAAAGAGUCGAGUUGUUUGGGAAUGCAGCUCAAAAUGGGUGGUAAAUUCCAUCUAAAGCUAAAUAUUGGCGAGAGACCGAUAGCGAACAAGUACCGUGAGGGAAAGAUGAAAAGGACUUUGGAAAGAGAGUUAAACAGUACGUGAAAUUGCUGAAAGGGAAACGCUUGAAGUCAGUCGCGUUGGCUGGAAAUCAACCUUGCUUUUGCUGGGCGUACUUUCUAGUCAAUGGGUCAGCAUCAAUUUUGACCAUUGGAAAAAGUGUAGAGGAAUGUGGCAUCUUCGGAUGUGUUAUAGCCUUUGCUCGCAUACAGUGGUUGGGAUUGAGGAAUUCAGCAGGGAAAAAA
RNAcentral lists this ribosomal RNA (532 nucleotides) under Conocybe crispa. RNAcentral describes it as "eukaryotic LSU rRNA". It matches the Rfam family "Eukaryotic large subunit ribosomal RNA", at positions 77 to 609 of the family's 3401-position model. Lineage: Eukaryota; Fungi; Basidiomycota; Agaricomycetes; Agaricales; Bolbitiaceae. The record is from RNAcentral.